This 428-nucleotide ribosomal RNA is filed under the name uncultured archaeon. Its description in RNAcentral is "bacterial SSU rRNA". It matches the Rfam family "Archaeal small subunit ribosomal RNA", at positions 474 to 903 of the family's 1478-position model. The record is from RNAcentral.
UACCUGCAGCUCAAGUGGUGGCCGCUAUUAUUGGGCCUAAAACGUUCGUAGCCGGUUUGGUAAAUGCCUGGGUAAAUCGUGUAGCUUAACUAUACGAAUUCCGGGUAGACUGCUAAACUUGAGACCGGGAGAAGCUAGAGGUACUCCUGGGGUAGAGGUGAAAUUCUGUAAUCCUGGGGGGACCACCAGUGGCGAAGGCGUCUAGCUAGAACGGGUUUGACGGUGAGGAACGAAGCCCUGGGGCGCAAACCGGAUUAGAUACCCGGGUAGUCCAGGGUGUAAACGCUGCUUGCUUGAUGUUAGUUGGGCUCCGAGCCCAAUUAGUGUCGGAGAGAAGUUGUUAAGCAAGCUGCCUGGGAAUACGAUCGCAAGAUUGAAACUUAAAGGAAUUGGCGGGGGAGCACAGCAACGGGUGGAGCGUGCGGUUU